RNAcentral lists this ribosomal RNA (479 nucleotides) under uncultured bacterium. RNAcentral describes it as "bacterial SSU rRNA". It matches the Rfam family "Bacterial small subunit ribosomal RNA", at positions 32 to 507 of the family's 1533-position model. The record is from RNAcentral.
AACGCUGGCGGCGUGCCUAACACAUGCAAGUCGAACGGAGAGUUUAUCGAGGAGACUUCGGUCAACGAGAUAAAGUUUCUUAGUGGCGGACGGGUGAGUAACGCGUGAGCAAUCUGCCUUUCAGAGGGGGAUAACAUUCUGAAAAGAAUGCUAAUACCGCAUAACGUAUUUGGACCGCAUGAUCUGAAUACCAAAGCUUUAUGUGCUGAAAGAUGGCCUCGCGUCUGAUUAGCUAGUUGGUGGGGUAACGGCCCACCAAGGCGACGAUCAGUAGCCGGUCUGAGAGGAUGAACGGCCACAUUGGGACUGAGACACGGCCCAGACUCCUACGGGAGGCAGCAGUGGGGAAUAUUGCACAAUGGGCGCAAGCCUGAUGCAGCAACGCCGCGUGAGGGAAGACGGUUUUCGGAUUGUAAACCUCUGUCUUUGGUGACGAAGAAGUGACGGUAGCCAAGGAGGAAGCCACGGCCAACUACGUG